Molecule: ribosomal RNA, 515 nt
Filed under: uncultured bacterium
Lineage: Bacteria
Description: partial 16S ribosomal RNA
Rfam family: Bacterial small subunit ribosomal RNA
Source: RNAcentral
GAUGAACGCUGGCGGCGUGCCUAAUACAUGCAAGUCGAGAGAAUGGAUUAAGAGCUUGCUCUUAUGAAGUUAGCGGCGGACGGGUGAGUAACACGUGGGUAACCUGCCCAUAAGACUAGGAUAACUCCGGGAAACCGGGGCUCAUACCGGAUAACAUUUUGAACCGCAUGGUUCGAAAUUGAAAGGCGGCUUCGGCUGUCACUUAGGGAUGGACCCGCGUCGCAUUAGCUAGUUGGUGAGGUAACGGAUCACCAAGGCAACGAUGCGUAGCCGACCUGAGAGGGUGAUCGGCCACACUGGGACUGAGACACGGCCCAGACUCCUACGGGAGGCAGCAGUAGGGAAUCUUCCGCAAUGGACGAAAGUCUGACGGAGCAACGCCGCGUGAGUGAUGAAGGCUUUCGGGUCGUAAAACUCUGUUGUUAGGGAAGAACAAGUGCUAGUUGAAUAAGCUGGCACCUUGACGGUACCUAACCAGAAAGCCACGGCUAACUACGUGCCAGCCGCCGCAGUAA